This 733-nucleotide ribosomal RNA is filed under the name uncultured bacterium. RNAcentral describes it as "bacterial SSU rRNA". It matches the Rfam family "Bacterial small subunit ribosomal RNA", at positions 634 to 1376 of the family's 1533-position model. The record is from RNAcentral.
GUUUAUUCUAGAGGACGGCAGAGGCAAGUAGAACUUAUAGAGUAACAGUAAAGUGUGUUGAUACUAUAAGGAAUACCAAAUGCGAAGGCAUCUUGCUGGACCGUUCCUGGCACUGAGAGACGAAAGCGUGGGUAGCGAAUGGGAUUAGAUACCCCAGUAGUCCACGCCGUAAACGAUGGAUAUUAGGCAUUAGGAGUGUCGACCCUUUUAGUGCCGAAGCUAACGCAUUAAAUAUCCCGCCUGGGAAGUACGAGCGCAAGCUUAAAACUCAAAGGAAUAGACGGGGACCUGCACAAGCGGUGGAACAUGUGGUUUAAUUCGACGAUAAACGAGGAACCUUACCAAGGCUUGAAAUCUCUAGAAUUCCCGAGAAACCGGGAAGUGCCGCAAGGAGCUAGAUGACAGGUGCUGCAUGGUUGCCGUCAGCUCGUGCCGUGAGGUGUUCGGUUAAGUCCAGUAACGAGCGCAACCCCUUUCAGAUGUUAUAUUUCUCAUCUGAGACUGCCCGGGUUAACUGGGAGGAAGGUGGGGACGACGUCAAAUCAGCAUGGCCCUUGACGCCUUGGGCUACACACAUGUUACAAUGGAAAGUUAUAAAGGGUUGCCAAAUCGCAAGAUGGAGCCAAUCCCGCCAAAACUUUUCUCAGUUCGGAUUGAGGGCUGCAACUCGCCCUCAUGAAGCCGGAAUCGCUAGUAACCGUGAAUCAGCUAUGUCACGGUGAAUACGUUCUCA